This 432-nucleotide ribosomal RNA is filed under the name uncultured Nitrosomonadaceae bacterium. Its description in RNAcentral is "bacterial SSU rRNA". It matches the Rfam family "Bacterial small subunit ribosomal RNA", at positions 950 to 1382 of the family's 1533-position model. Lineage: Bacteria; Pseudomonadati; Pseudomonadota; Betaproteobacteria; Nitrosomonadales; Nitrosomonadaceae. The record is from RNAcentral.
UUCGAUGCAACGCGAAAACCUUACCUACCCUUGACAUGUCCUGAAGCCUGGGGAGAUCCGGGUGUGCCCGAAAGGGAACGGGAACACAGGUGCUGCAUGGCUGUCGUCAGCUCGUGUCGUGAGAUGUUGGGUUAAGUCCCGCAACGAGCGCAACCCUUUGUCAUUAGUUGCUACAUUUGGUUGGGCACUCUAAUGAGACUGCCGGUGACAAACCGGAGGAAGGUGGGGAUGACGUCAAGUCCUCAUGGCCCUUAUGGGUAGGGCUUCACACGUAAUACAAUGGCGCGUACAGAGGGUUGCCAAGCCGCGAGGUGGAGCCAAUCCCAGAAAGCGCGUCGUAGUCCGGAUUGCAGUCUGCAACUCGACUGCAUGAAGUCGGAAUCGCUAGUAAUCGCGGAUCAGCAUGUCGCGGUGAAUACGUUCCCGGGUCUU